UUCUAUUACACUAAUUAAUAGUAAGGCCUGCUCAAUGAUAUUAAAUAGCCGCAAUUAUUUGUGCUAAGGUAGCAUAAUCACUUGUUUUUUAAUUAAAAACUAGAACAAACGGCUAAACAAUUUAAUUACUAUCAAACUUUAACUUUUUAAAUUAUUUUAAAUGUUAAAAAACAUUUAUAGAUAAGAAAGACGACAAGACCCUAUUGAACUUAACUAUAGUUAAACUGGGGCAGUAAAUUAAGUAUUAUUUUAAUAUUUAUAAUUAUAUAAAUAUACCUAAUACAAUUAAAUUAUCAAGUUACCAUAGGGAUAACAGCGUAAUAAAUAUUUAUAGUUCUUAUCAAAAUAAUAACUUGCGACCUCGAUGUUGAAUAAUAACCUACAUUAAGCAGCUUUAAUGAAAGGAAGUCUGUUCGACUUUUAAAAAAUUACA
RNAcentral lists this ribosomal RNA (433 nucleotides) under Gallieniella betroka. Its description in RNAcentral is "partial 16S ribosomal RNA". Lineage: Eukaryota; Metazoa; Arthropoda; Arachnida; Araneae; Gallieniellidae. The record is from RNAcentral.